This 1121-nucleotide long non-coding RNA is filed under the name Capsicum annuum. RNAcentral describes it as "long non-coding RNA (CANN_LNC002122)". Lineage: Eukaryota; Viridiplantae; Streptophyta; Magnoliopsida; Solanales; Solanaceae. The record is from RNAcentral.
UCUACUACACAUGACAUCAAUAACUGUCUGAAACCUGGGACAAGGCCCCAAGUAAACCAAAACCAAAGUAAAAAAAUAAAAAGAGAUAUGCCUUCCCGAAUAAACAAGGCUCACCACCGCAAACUUUGCUUCUGUCUGAAAGCUCUACGGAUUAGCAGGACAUCUAGACUGAGCCUCAGACCCUGGAAGGUAGGGGUCAAUACAGUUUUACUGGUACGCAGAGCAAAUCCAAAAUAAUAAUUUUUAUUCAACAUAUAUGAGAGUAAUUUAAAACAGUUUAUGAAUAUAUCAUAUGGUAAGAAUCAUAUGGGCAUAUUUAAAAGAUUCUGUAAAAUCAUUUGAACUCUAUGACACUCUUUAUAUUACUUCUGCGCUAGGUGGUAUACCCUACAAAUCUGAAAUUCCAUGGGCUAUAUGCAAUCUGCCAUUAAUCGGCAGCCAAGCCCCCAACCCAAGUUUGCCACAAGGGUCGGAGUCUCUGUCUCUACUACGCCAUAGGGUCAUCGCCAUCGUACAAUAAUAAUAUACCCGUAUCAGCAAAAUACGAUUUUGGGCUAAGAGUUACUUGAACUCAAGACUUCUUAUGGUAACCACCUAACCCACUUUAAGCUCAUUUUUAACUCUUUAAAAAUUUCAUUCUCUGAAAUCAAACUCGGAAAAACUCUAGCUCUGUUAUGGCAUACAUGUAUAUUGUAUCGUCAUACCAUUGACUUGCAAGUCGCGACUCUAAGCUAUUAAUAGCAUAUUGUAAUCUCUAUUUUCAAAACAUAAGGUUUGGGACCACCAUAUCAAUAAAUCAAUUGAAAUAACUCUUUCUUAAAACUCAUGUAAACACAUGCGAGUAACUGUUUUUUUCAACAUUUCAAAUACCCAAGGUGGUCAUAUCAAAGUUCUCAAUCACAUACAAUUCUUUCUCCUUAACACGAGAACAUAAUUAUAUCAAUAAAACCCCUCUCAUCAUCUUUAAAUCAUGAUCAAAUACUAUGAUAUUGAGAAAACAAUUUUCAAACCAUCAAUCAUACAUUUCAAACCAUUCACAAUAAGAUCAUAAACUUAAAUUCAUCACAAGAGAGUGAUUUCAUAAUUGGUGCUCUCAAACAAAUCUUAAAUCUCAAUUUUCA